Molecule: ribosomal RNA, 527 nt
Filed under: uncultured bacterium
Lineage: Bacteria
Description: bacterial SSU rRNA
Rfam family: Bacterial small subunit ribosomal RNA
Source: RNAcentral
GGACGACGCUGGCGGCGUGCCUAAUACAUGCAAGUCGAGCGCGGGAAGCGGACAAUCACCCUUCGGGGUGUGCGUCCGUGGAACGAGCGGCGGAUGGGUGAGUAUCACGUGGGCAACCUGCCUGUAAGAUUGGGAUAACUCGCGGAAACGUGAGCUAAUACCGAAUGAGGUCUUUCACCGCCUGGUGAAAGGAUGAAAGAUGGCUCUUGAGCUAUCACUUACAGAUGGGCCCGCGGCGCAUUAGCUAGUUGGUGGGGUAAAGGCCUACCAAGGCGACGAUGCGUAGCCGACCUGAGAGGGUGAUCGGCCACACUGGGACUGAGACACGGCCCAGACUCCUACGGGAGGCAGCAGUAGGGAAUCUUCCGCAAUGGACGAAAGUCUGACGGAGCAACGCCGCGUGAAGUGAUGAAGGUCUUCGGAUCGUAAAACUCUGUUGUCAGGGAAGAACAAGUUGUGUUCUAACAGGACAUGACCUUGACGGUACCUGACCAGAAAGCCCCGGCUAACUACGUGCCAGCCGCGGC